AGUUUUAUAGUCAUUGGAAUGAUAUUAGACUGCAAUUCUAAAGGAGUAAAUUUUUUACUAAAGCUU
Molecule: transfer RNA, 66 nt
Filed under: Bittacomorphella fenderiana
Lineage: Eukaryota; Metazoa; Arthropoda; Insecta; Diptera; Ptychopteridae
Description: tRNA-Cys
Source: RNAcentral